This 340-nucleotide unclassified non-coding RNA is filed under the name soil metagenome. RNAcentral describes it as "partial contains 5.8S ribosomal RNA, internal transcribed spacer 2, and large subunit ribosomal RNA". The stretch from base 1 to 120 matches the Rfam family "5.8S ribosomal RNA", at positions 35 to 154 of the family's 154-position model. The record is from RNAcentral.
GAUGAAGAACGUAGCGAAAUGCGAUAAGUAGUGUGAAUUGCAGAAUUCAGUGAAUCAUCGAAUCUUUGAACGCACAUUGCGCCCGUCAGUAUUCUGACGGGCAUGCCUGUCCGAGCGUCAUUUCAACCCUCAAGCACUGCUUGGCGUUGGCGGAUUGCGUGCCCUCGCGGCGCUGCAACCGCCCAAAUACAGUGGCGGUCCCGCUGCGGCUCCCUUUGCGUAGUAACUCACCUCGCACUGGACCGGGCGGCGGCCUGCCGUAAAACCCCAACUCACGAAAUGUUGACCUCGGAUCAGGUAGGAAUACCCGCUGAACUUAAGCAUAUCAAUAAGCGGAGGA